Molecule: small nuclear RNA, 147 nt
Organism: Tupaia belangeri (northern tree shrew)
Lineage: Eukaryota; Metazoa; Chordata; Mammalia; Scandentia; Tupaiidae
Gene: U4
Rfam family: U4 spliceosomal RNA
About the family: U4 small nuclear RNA (U4 snRNA) is a component of the major U2-dependent spliceosome. The structure of U4 snRNA from yeast and human has been reported. U4 snRNA presents a k-turn RNA motif in the 5p-SL related to recognition of Snu13 protein.
Source: Ensembl
AGCUUUGCGCAGUGGCAGUAUCGUAGCCAAUGAGGUUUAUCUGAGGCGCAAUUAUUGCUAAUUGAAAAGUGUUUUAUUCCUUUAGGUAGCUGUCUAUCUCUGACUGAUUCACAGUUCUUUAUGUAUUCUGGGCAUGAUGGUUAAGUC